RNAcentral lists this ribosomal RNA (425 nucleotides) under uncultured bacterium. RNAcentral's name for it is "partial 16S ribosomal RNA". It matches the Rfam family "Bacterial small subunit ribosomal RNA", at positions 354 to 796 of the family's 1533-position model. The record is from RNAcentral.
GUGGGGAAUCUUGCGCAAUGGGCGAAAGCCUGACGCAGCCAUGCCGCGUAGAUGAUGAAGGUCUUAGGAUUGUAAAAUCCUUUCACCGGUGAAGAUAAUGACUGUAGCCGGAGAAGAAGCCCCGGCUAACUUCGUGCCAGCAGUCGCGGUAAUACGAAGGGGGCUAGCGUUGCUCGGAUUUACUGGGCGUAAAGGGCGCGUAGGCGGACAUUUAAGUCAGGGGUGAAAUCCCGGGGCUCAACCUCGGAACUGCCUUUGAUACUGGGUGUCUUGAGUAUGAGAGAGGUGUGUGGAACUCCGAGUGUAGAGGUGAAAUUCGUAGAUAUUCGGAAGAACACCAGUGGCGAAGGCGACACACUGGCUCAUUACUGACGCUGAGGCGCGAAAGCGUGGGGAGCAAACAGGAUUAGAUACCCCGGUAGUCC